GGCGUUGUGGCGGAGUGGUUAACGCGAGAGAUUAGAAUUGACGUCAGUAGGAUUCGAACCUACGCUUUUCAUCUCUUCCAUUUAUGGGCACAGGUUCGAAUCCUGUCGACGUCG
Molecule: transfer RNA, 114 nt
Organism: Schizopora paradoxa
Lineage: Eukaryota; Fungi; Basidiomycota; Agaricomycetes; Hymenochaetales; Schizoporaceae
Rfam family: tRNA
About the family: Transfer RNA (tRNA) molecules are approximately 80 nucleotides in length. Their secondary structure includes four short double-helical elements and three loops (D, anti-codon, and T loops).
Source: Rfam